This 243-nucleotide ribosomal RNA is filed under the name uncultured bacterium. RNAcentral's name for it is "partial 16S ribosomal RNA". It matches the Rfam family "Bacterial small subunit ribosomal RNA", at positions 524 to 765 of the family's 1533-position model. The record is from RNAcentral.
UACGUAAGGGGCAAGCGUUGUCCGGAAUCAUUGGGCGUAAAGCGCGUGUAGGCGGUUCGGUAAGUCUGCUGUGAAAGUCCAGGGCUCAACCCUGGGAUGCCGGUGGAUACUGUCGGACUAGAGUACGGAAGAGGCGAGUGGAAUUCCCGGUGUAGCGGUGAAAUGCGCAGAUAUCGGGAAGGAACACCGGUGGCGAAGGCGGUUCUCUGGGCAUGUCCUGACGCUAGGAGGCGAAAGUGUGGG